This is a long non-coding RNA of Nothoprocta perdicaria, 216 nucleotides long. RefSeq lists it as uncharacterized. The transcript has 2 exons. NCBI's taxonomy places the organism in Eukaryota, Metazoa, Chordata, Aves, Tinamiformes, Tinamidae. The record is from RefSeq and is a predicted model, not a curated record.
GGGAGAGAAGGGUCCUGUUGUCCCAGCCACGGGCACGCAGAGCAUCGCAGCCUUAUGCUCCGAGCACGUCGUCCAGGCAAAGGGAAAGCUGCAGUCGGAAGCAGACCGGGAAUUUUCCAAAGUUGCAAAGAAGGCGUAGCAGAGAAGGGAUGUGAAUCCUGAGACUGAUAAACCCUAACUGUGCUGUCAGAAGAGUUCAAUUGCAUCGCUACUCCU